RNAcentral lists this ribosomal RNA (468 nucleotides) under uncultured bacterium. Its description in RNAcentral is "partial 16S ribosomal RNA". It matches the Rfam family "Bacterial small subunit ribosomal RNA", at positions 28 to 507 of the family's 1533-position model. The record is from RNAcentral.
GACGAACGCUGGCGGCGUGCUUAACACAUGCAAGUCGAACGGAAAGGCCCGGCUUUUGUUGGGUGCUCGAUUGGCGAAGGGGUGAGUAACACGUGAGUAACCUGCCCUUGUCUGUGGGAUAACUUCAGGAAACUGGGGCGAAUACCGGGUAUGAUCUCCUGCUGCAUGGGGUUGGUUGGAGAGUGUCGGCGGUGGUGGAUGGACUCGCGGCUUAUCAGCUUGUUGGUGGGGUAGUGGCGUACCAGGGCUUUGACGGGUAGCCGGCCUGGGAGGGUGACCGGCCACAUUGGGACUGAGGUACGGCCCAGAAUCCUACGGGCGGCAGCAGUGGGGAAUAUUGCACAAUGGGCGGAAGCCUGAUGCAGCAACGCCGCGUGCGGGAUGACGGCCUUCGGGUUGUAAACCGCUUUCGACUGUGCCGAAGAGUGAGUGACGGUAAUGGGUAAAGAAGCCCCGGCUAACUACGUG